AUGCCUUCACUUUAUGAAGGAAUCGACUUCUAUACUUCCAUUAUCCGUGCCUGAUUUGAAGAAUUGAAUGGUGAUCUGUUCCGUGGCACUCUGGACCCUGUAGAGAAAGCCCUUCGAGAUGCCAAACUACACAAGUCACAAAUUCAUGACAUUGUCCUGUUAGUGGUUCUACCUGCAUCCCCAAGAUUCAAAACCUUUUGCAAGACUUCUUCAAUGGAAAAGAACUGAAUAAGAGUAUCAACCCUGAUGAGACCGUUGCUUAUGGUGCAGCUGUCCAGGUGGCCAUCCUGUCUGUAUACAAAUCUGAGAACGUUCAAGAUUUGCUUCUCCUGGAUAUCACUCCUCUUUCUCUUGGUAUUGAAACCGCUGGUGGAGGUAUGACUGUACUCAUUAAGUGCAAUACUACUAUUCCUACAAAGCAGACAUAGACCUUCACUACCUACUCUGACAACCAGCCUGGUGUGCUCAUUCAGGUUUACGAAGGUGAACGUGCCAUGACUAAAGAUAACAACUUACUUGGCAAGUUUGAACUCACAGGCAUACCUCCUGCCCCUCGAGGUGUUCCUCAAAUUGAAGUCACUUUUGAUAUUGAUGCCAAUGGCAUUCUCAAUGUCUCUGCUGUGGACAAGAGCACAGGAAAGGAAAAUAAGAUUACCAUCACUAAUGACAAGGGUCGUUUGAGCAAGGAAGACAUUGAACGUAUGGUCCAGGAAGCUGAGAAAUACAAAGCUGAAGAUGAGAAGCAGAGGGACAAAGUGUCAUCAAAAAAUUCACUUGAAUCCUAUGCAUUCAACAUGAAAGCAGCUGUUGAAGAUGAGAAACUUCAAGGCAAGAUCAAUGAUGAGGACAAACAGAAGAUUCUUGACAAGUGUAAUGAAAUUAUCAACUGGUUUGAUAAGAACCAGACUGCAGAGAAGGAAGAAUUUGAACAUUAGCAGAAGGUGCUGGAGAAAGUCUGCAACCCUAUCAUUACUAAGCUGUACCAGAGUGCAGGAGGCAUGCUGGGAGGAAUGCCAGGAGGAAUGCCUGGGGCUUCCUAGGUGAUGGAGCUCCUCCUUCUGGUGGUGCUUCCUCAGGUCACACCAUUGAAGAGAUUGAUUAAGCCAACCCAAGCAUAGAUGCAUCAGUGCUCCACAUAGUAAAAACAUUGAAGGAUCUAAAUUUGUAGCAAAUUAUGUGGCAGAUUUAAAGUUAAGCUGCUAUAGUAAAUUACUGGGCAUUCUCAAUUCUUGAAUAUGGAACAUGGGCACAGGGGAGGAAACAACAUUGCACUUUAUAAGCACUGUAUUGUAAGUGGAAAAUGCAAUGUCUUAAAUAAAACUGUAUUUAAAAUUGGCAAAA
Non-coding RNA from Microcebus murinus (gray mouse lemur), 1341 nucleotides. The record is from RefSeq and is a predicted model, not a curated record. NCBI's taxonomy places the organism in Eukaryota, Metazoa, Chordata, Mammalia, Primates, Cheirogaleidae.